RNAcentral lists this transfer RNA (76 nucleotides) under Deltaproteobacteria bacterium. RNAcentral describes it as "tRNA-Ile". It matches the Rfam family "tRNA". Rfam says of the family: Transfer RNA (tRNA) molecules are approximately 80 nucleotides in length. Their secondary structure includes four short double-helical elements and three loops (D, anti-codon, and T loops). The record is from RNAcentral. Lineage: Bacteria; Pseudomonadati; Myxococcota; Myxococcia.
GGGCCCAUAGCUCAGUUGGCAGAGCCCCCGGCUCAUAACCGGAUUGUCCGAGGUUCAAAUCCUCGUGGGCCCACCA